UGGGGAAUUUUGGACAAUGGGCGCAAGCCUGAUCCAGCAAUGCCGCGUGCAGGAUGAAGGCCUUCGGGUUGUAAACUGCUUUUGUACGGAGCGAAAAGGUCUGCCCUAAUACGGUGGGCUCAUGACGGUACCGUAAGAAUAAGCACCGGCUAACUACGUGCCAGCAGCCGCGGUAAUACGUAGGGUGCGAGCGCUAAUCGGAAUUACUGGGCGUAAAGCGUGCGCAGGCGGUUAUAUAAGACAGUUGUGAAAUCCCCGGGCUCAACCUGGGACCUGCAUUUGUGACUGUGUAGCUAGAGUACGGUAGAGGGGGAUGGAAUUCCGUGUGUAGCAGUGAAAUGCGUAGAUAUGCGGAGGAACACCGAUGGCGAAGGCAAUCCCCUGGGCCUGUACUGACGCUCAUGCACGAAAGCGUGGGGAGCAAACA
RNAcentral lists this ribosomal RNA (427 nucleotides) under uncultured bacterium. RNAcentral's name for it is "bacterial SSU rRNA". It matches the Rfam family "Bacterial small subunit ribosomal RNA", at positions 355 to 774 of the family's 1533-position model. The record is from RNAcentral.